RNAcentral lists this ribosomal RNA (253 nucleotides) under uncultured bacterium. RNAcentral's name for it is "partial 16S ribosomal RNA". It matches the Rfam family "Bacterial small subunit ribosomal RNA", at positions 524 to 776 of the family's 1533-position model. The record is from RNAcentral.
UCCGGAGGGUGCAAGCGUUAUCCGGAUUCACUGGGUUUAAAGGGUGCGUAGGCGGUCAGGUAAGUCCGUGGUGAAAUCUCUGAGCUUAACUCAGAAACUGCCAUGGAUACUAUUUGUCUUGAAUAUUGUGGAGGUAAGCGGAAUAUGUCAUGUAGCGGUGAAAUGCUUAGAUAUGACAUAGAACACCAAUUGCGAAGGCAGCUUACUACACAGUUAUUGACGCUGAGGCACGAAAGCGUGGGGAUCAAACAGG